CAUGGUUAUUCAGGACCUCCACAUUGGAUAAAUUCAAUUUCUUCUUGAGACACAAGUUUGCUUCUGUAUUUCUGAGGUAAUGUUUUUAUUAUUUCUGCAGUGUCUGGUGGACCCUGAUACAUUAGCAAAUCUGGUGAUGUAUCCCUUAGAAUGUUGUGAAAUUACAGAAGAGUGAGAUGGUAGCCCUGCUGAUCUCAAAGCUUCUGAUACAUUGGGUUUAGGAUUGUCUCUUCUGUCAGGAAACCUUAUUAAUGGAGUGUGUGGUUUGACUACCUGAACGACCCUACUGGCA
This 292-nucleotide long non-coding RNA is filed under the name Homo sapiens (human). RNAcentral's name for it is "ADAPT13". The record is from RNAcentral. Lineage: Eukaryota; Metazoa; Chordata; Mammalia; Primates; Hominidae.